RNAcentral lists this ribosomal RNA (497 nucleotides) under uncultured bacterium. RNAcentral's name for it is "partial 16S ribosomal RNA". It matches the Rfam family "Bacterial small subunit ribosomal RNA", at positions 28 to 507 of the family's 1533-position model. The record is from RNAcentral.
GAUGAACGCUGGCGGCGUGCCUAAUACAUGCAAGUCGAGCGAACGGACGAGAAGCUUGCUUUUCUGAUGUUAGCGGCGGACGGGUGAGUAACACGUGGAUAACCUACCUAUAAGACUGGGAUAACUUCGGGAAACCGGAGCUAAUACCGGAUAAUAUUUUGAACCGCAUGGUUCAAAAGUGAAAGACGGUCUUGCUGUCACUUAUGGAUGGAUCCGCGCUGCAUUAGCUAGUUGGUAAGGUAACGGCUUACCAAGGCAACGAUGCAUAGCCGACCUGAGAGGGUGAUCGGCCACACUGGAACUGAGACACGGUCCAGACUCCUACGGGAGGCAGCAGUAGGGAAUCUUCCGCAAUGGGCGAAAGCCUGACGGAGCAACGCCGCGUGAGUGAUGAAGGUCUUCGGAUCGUAAAACUCUGUUAGUAGGGAAGAACAUAUGUGUAAGUAACUGUGCACAUCUUGACGGUACCUAAUCAGAAAGCCACGGCUAACUACGUG